RNAcentral lists this ribosomal RNA (448 nucleotides) under uncultured bacterium. RNAcentral's name for it is "bacterial SSU rRNA". It matches the Rfam family "Bacterial small subunit ribosomal RNA", at positions 29 to 524 of the family's 1533-position model. The record is from RNAcentral.
AACGAACGCUGGCGGCAGGCUUAACACAUGCAAGUCGAGCGCCCCGCAAGGGGAGCGGCAGACGGGUGAGUAACGCGUGGGAACAUACCCUUUGGUUCGGAAUAACUCAGGGAAACUUGAGCUAAUACCGGAUACGUCCGUAAGGAGAAAGAUUUAUCGCCAAAGGAUUGGCCCGCGUCCGAUUAGCUAGUUGGUGAGGUAACGGCUCACCAAGGCUACGAUCGGUAGCUGGUCUGAGAGGAUGAUCAGCCACAUUGGGACUGAGACACGGCCCAAACUCCUACGGGAGGCAGCAGUGGGGAAUAUUGGACAAUGGGCGCAAGCCUGAUCCAGCAAUGCCGCGUGAGUGAUGAAGGCCCUAGGGUUGUAAAGCUCUUUUACCAGGGAUGAUAAUGACAGUACCUGGAGAAUAAGCUCCGGCUAACUCCGUGCCAGCAGCCGCGGUAAU